GGAACGAACGCUGGCGGCAUGCCUAAUACAUGCAAGUCGAACGAACUCUUCGGAGUUAGUGGCGCACGGGUGCGUAACGCGUGGGAAUCUGCCCCUUGGUUCGGAAUAACAGUUGGAAACGACUGCUAAUACCGGAUGAUGACAAAAGUCCAAAGAUUUAUCGCCAAGGGAUGAGCCCGCGUAGGAUUAGCUAGUUGGUGAGGUAAAGGCUCACCAAGGCAACGAUCCUUAGCUGGUCUGAGAGGAUGAUCAGCCACACUGGGACUGAGACACGGCCCAGACUCCUACGGGAGGCAGCAGUAGGGAUAUUGGACAAUGGCGAAAGCCUGAUCCAGCAAUGCCGCGUGAGUGAUGAA
RNAcentral lists this ribosomal RNA (356 nucleotides) under uncultured soil bacterium. Its description in RNAcentral is "bacterial SSU rRNA". It matches the Rfam family "Bacterial small subunit ribosomal RNA", at positions 27 to 412 of the family's 1533-position model. The record is from RNAcentral.